RNAcentral lists this ribosomal RNA (303 nucleotides) under Triticum aestivum (bread wheat). RNAcentral's name for it is "partial small subunit ribosomal RNA". The record is from RNAcentral. Lineage: Eukaryota; Viridiplantae; Streptophyta; Magnoliopsida; Poales; Poaceae.
AUGACAGUAGCUACACGGCCUAUGAACGAUGUUCCCUCCCCAACAACGCCUUUGCUUGAGAAAAGUUGUUCUCUUGUUGAAAUGAGAGAGAUAAGGCACUGUGGUUGUGAUUGUUAUGAUGGGAACGAUGUUCCUCAUGGUCCCAGUAAUGUUGAUAACAAGUACAGACAAACUACAGGGUACCAAGUAGAGACAAACCGCAGGGUACAAGUACAGACACUGUGUGUCCACGUAGGUAGCCACAUGGCAUUGGUCCAUGACGGACUGUUCUGUCACGGCCUAGUUUGGGCUUGGGCGGCCUGA